Molecule: long non-coding RNA, 485 nt
Filed under: Coturnix japonica (Japanese quail)
Lineage: Eukaryota; Metazoa; Chordata; Aves; Galliformes; Phasianidae
Description: lncRNA (ENSCJPG00005007506.1)
Source: RNAcentral
UGUAGAUAAGAUAAGAUGCACCAUUUUAGGCUCAUGAUAACCUAGGCCAUAUAUAUAUAUAUAUAUAUAUUUUAUUUUUUUUUUUCUUUUUGUAGCAAUAUAAGUAGAGAUGAACAUAAAUUUUGCCUGGCAAAAAUUAAAACGUUGUUGUUUUUUACAGCUUUGGAGAAUCUCCAGCAUCAAUUCAGUUGCUUCCUGAGUUGGCUCUACAAGUUUCGAUAAGGUUCUCGAAGUGACUUAGUGGAGAAUUGGAGGACUGGAGCAAACUGCAAAAACUGAAGAAUGAGGAAGAGUGGGGGAUGUGAAGAGCUUCACUGCUUGGUGGCUACAGAUGUUGGGAAAACACAUGGAACCCACACAAUUGACCUUAUUCUGCUUCAGAUCAGUGGUUACAAUCACAUAUAAUUGCUUUAAGUAGAAGAGUUCCUCAGAGGAUGCCAAUCAAUUGCUGCGAGGAGGGUGAAACACAGGGUUUUGAGAUUUCU